AUUGAACGCUGGCGGCAGGCCUAACACAUGCAAGUCGAACGGUAACAGGAAGCAGCUUGCUGCUUUGCUGACGAGUGGCGGACGGGUGAGUAAUGUCUGUGAAACUGCCCGAUGGAGGGGGAUAACUACUGGAAACGGUAGCUAAUACCGCAUAACGUCGCAAGACCAAAGAGGGGGACCUUAGGGCCUCUUGCCAUCGGAUGUGCCCAGAUGGGAUUAGCUAGUAGGUGGGGUAACGGCUCACCUAGGCGACGAUCCCUAGCUGGUCUGAGAGGAUGACCAGCCACACGGGACUGGAGACACGGUCCAGACUCCUACGGGAGGCAGCAGUGGGGAAUAUUGAACAAUGGGCGAAGGCCUGAUGCAGCCAGGCCGCGUGUAUGAAGAAGGCCUUCGGGUUGUAAAGUACUUUCAGCGGGGAGGAAGGGAGUAAAGUUAAUACCUUUGCUCAUGGACGUUACCCGCAGAAGAAACACCGGCUAACUCCGU
This 489-nucleotide ribosomal RNA is filed under the name uncultured bacterium. RNAcentral describes it as "partial 16S ribosomal RNA". It matches the Rfam family "Bacterial small subunit ribosomal RNA", at positions 30 to 506 of the family's 1533-position model. The record is from RNAcentral.